CCCCCGACAUAAAAAGCUGCCGGAUAGUACAAACCUAAUUUAAAAUCCAAAGACCUUGGCGGUGUCUUAUACUAUCAGGGGAACCUGUCCCUUAAUACGAUAAUCCACGAAUGCUUUCGCCUCCCUCGAAUUACAGCCUGUGUACUGCCGUCGAAAGUGUGCCUUUAAAAGUAAGCACACAAUAAUAAAUCUAUUAACGUCAGGUCAAAGUGCAGCCUAUGGGAAGCUGGAGAUGGGUUACAACCUUAAUAAUAGCCACCUACCUUUAUUUAAAAAUAAAGCCAAAGCUGGACUUGAAAGUAAUGAUAUCUACUAUCUUAUCAUGAAUAGGAAUCUAAGACAUGCACACAUCGCCCGUCACUCUCGCCGAAAGGUG
RNAcentral lists this ribosomal RNA (376 nucleotides) under Tubificoides pseudogaster. RNAcentral describes it as "partial 12S ribosomal RNA". Lineage: Eukaryota; Metazoa; Annelida; Clitellata; Tubificida; Naididae. The record is from RNAcentral.